GACGUAGGGCGCGAGGCGUUGUCCGGAUUUAUUGGGCGUAAAGGAGCUCGUAGGCGGCUUGUCGCGUCGACUGUGAAAACUUGGGGCUCAACUCCAAGCGUUGCAGUCGAUACGGGCAGGCUAGAGUUCGGUAGGGGGAGACUGGAAUUCCUGGUGUAGCGGUGAAAUGCGUAGAUAUUGGGGAGGAACACCAGUGGCGAAGGCGGCUCACUGGACCGGUACUGACGCUGAUGCGCGAAAGCGUGGGGAGCAAACGGGG
RNAcentral lists this ribosomal RNA (259 nucleotides) under uncultured bacterium. Its description in RNAcentral is "partial 16S ribosomal RNA". It matches the Rfam family "Bacterial small subunit ribosomal RNA", at positions 524 to 777 of the family's 1533-position model. The record is from RNAcentral.